RNAcentral lists this ribosomal RNA (450 nucleotides) under uncultured bacterium. RNAcentral describes it as "partial 16S ribosomal RNA". It matches the Rfam family "Bacterial small subunit ribosomal RNA", at positions 354 to 796 of the family's 1533-position model. The record is from RNAcentral.
GUGGGGAAUCUUCCGCAAUGGACGAAAGUCUGACGGAGCGACGCCGCGUGAGUGAAGAAGGCCUUCGGGUCGUAAAGCUCUGUCAUCAGGGACGAACGGCCGGUGGAGUGGAAAGCCACCGGAUUGACGGUACCUGAGAAGGAAGCCACGGCUAACUACGUGCCAGCAGCCGCGGUAAUACGUAGGUGGCAAGCGUUGUCAGGAAUUAUUGGGCGUAAAGCGCGCGCAGGUGGGAUCUUAAGUCCAUUUUUAAAGUUCGGAGCUCAACUCCGUGAUGGGAUGGAAACUGGGAUUCUUGAGUACCGGAGAGGAAAGCGGAAUUCCCCGUGUAGCGGUGAAAUGCGUAGAUAUGGGGAGGAACACCAGUGGCGAAGGCGGCUUUCUGGACGGUGUCUGACACUGAGGCGCGAAAGCCAGGGGAGCGAACGGGAUUAGAAACCCUUGUAGUCC